Molecule: ribosomal RNA, 516 nt
Filed under: uncultured bacterium
Lineage: Bacteria
Description: partial 16S ribosomal RNA
Rfam family: Bacterial small subunit ribosomal RNA
Source: RNAcentral
ACUCAAAUGAAUUGACGGGGAUCCGCACAAGUGGUGGAGCAUGUGGUUUAAUUCGAUAGUAAGCGAGGCACCUCACCAGGGUUUGAAAUCUAGCUGGAGAUCUCAGAAAUGAGAAGUCCUUCGAGGCCGCUAGACCAGGUGCUGCAUGGUUGUCGUCAGCUCGUGUCGUAAGAUGUUCCGUUCAGUCGGGAAACGAGCGCAACCCCUGUAAAGUGUUAGAUAUGUCACUUUAGACUGCCCAGCCAAUUGUUCGCGAAGCAAUUCGUGGAUAGCUGGCUGGGAGGAAGGCGGGGAUGACGUCAAAUCAGCAUGGCCCUCUGACACCCUGGGCGACACACGUGCUACAAUGGUCGGGUAUAAAGGGUUGCCAAACCGCGAGGUGGAGCCAAUCCCAAAAAACCGAUCUCAGUUCGGAUUGAAGGCUGCAACUCGCCUUCAUGAAGCUGGAAUCACUAGUAAUCGUUGAUCAGCCACGCAACGGUGAAUGCGUUCUCGGAUCUUGUACACACCGCCCGU